RNAcentral lists this ribosomal RNA (244 nucleotides) under uncultured bacterium. Its description in RNAcentral is "partial 16S ribosomal RNA". It matches the Rfam family "Bacterial small subunit ribosomal RNA", at positions 528 to 771 of the family's 1533-position model. The record is from RNAcentral.
GAGGACCCGAGCGUUAUCCGGAUUUAUUGGGUUUAAAGGGUGCGUAGGCGGAUUAGUAAGUUAGAGGUGAAAGCUCGAUGCUCAACAUCGAAAUUGCCUCUGAUACUGUUAGUCUAGAGUAUAGUUGCGGAAGGCGGAAUGUGUGGUGUAGCGGUGAAAUGCUUAGAUAUCACACAGAACACCGAUUGCGAAGGCAGCUUUCCAAGCUAUUACUGACGCUGAUGCACGAAAGCGUGGGGAGCGA